UACGGAGGGAGCUAGCGUUAUUCGGAAUUACUGGGCGUAAAGCGCACGUAGGCGGCUUUGUAAGUAAGAGGUGAAAGCCUGGAGCUCAACUCCAGAAUUGCCUUUUAGACUGCAUCGCUUGAAUCAUGGAGAGGUGAGUGGAAUUCCGAGUGUAGAGGUGAAAUUCGUAGAUAUUCGGAAGAACACCAGUGGCGAAGGCGGCUCACUGGACAUGUAUUGACGCUGAGGUGCGAAAGCGUGGGGAGCAAACAGGG
This 254-nucleotide ribosomal RNA is filed under the name uncultured bacterium. Its description in RNAcentral is "partial 16S ribosomal RNA". It matches the Rfam family "Bacterial small subunit ribosomal RNA", at positions 524 to 777 of the family's 1533-position model. The record is from RNAcentral.